RNAcentral lists this ribosomal RNA (187 nucleotides) under uncultured bacterium. RNAcentral's name for it is "partial 16S ribosomal RNA". It matches the Rfam family "Bacterial small subunit ribosomal RNA", at positions 1314 to 1500 of the family's 1533-position model. The record is from RNAcentral.
GCCUGUAUGAAGUCGGAAUUGCUAGUAAUCGCGGAUCAGCAUGCCGCGGUGAAUACGUUCCCGGGCCUUGUACACACCGCCCGUCACACCAUGAGAGUUGGCAACACCCGAAGUCAGUAGCCUAACCGCAAGGGGGGCGCUGCCGAAGGUGGGGUUGAUGAUUGGGGUGAAGUCGUAACAAGGUAUC